AGAACGAACGCUGGCGGCAGGCCUCAAACAUGCAAGUCUAGGGGGUGUAGCAAUACAUCACCGGCGGACGGGUGCGUAACACGUGGGAAUAUACCUUUUGGUUCGGAACAACGCAGGGAAACUUGCGCUAAUACCGAAUGUGCCCUUACGGGGAAAGAUUUAUCGCCAAAGGAUUAGCCCGCGUAGGAUUAGCUAGUUGGUGAGGUAAUGGCUCACCAAGGCUCCGAUCCUUAGCUGUUCUGAGAGGAAGAUCAGCCACACUGGGACUGAGACACGGCCCAGACUCCUACGGGAGGCAGCAGUUGGGAAUCUUGGACAAUGGGGAAACCCUGAUCCAGCCAUGCCGCGUGAGUGAUGAAGGCCUUCGGGUUGUAAAACUCUUUCGACGGGGACAUAAUGGACGGUACCCGUAGAAGAAGCUCCGGCUAACUUCGCGCCAGCAGCCGC
RNAcentral lists this ribosomal RNA (447 nucleotides) under uncultured bacterium. Its description in RNAcentral is "SSU rRNA". It matches the Rfam family "Bacterial small subunit ribosomal RNA", at positions 26 to 518 of the family's 1533-position model. The record is from RNAcentral.